Molecule: ribosomal RNA, 283 nt
Filed under: uncultured Sediminibacterium sp.
Lineage: Bacteria; Pseudomonadati; Bacteroidota; Chitinophagia; Chitinophagales; Chitinophagaceae
Description: partial 16S ribosomal RNA
Rfam family: Bacterial small subunit ribosomal RNA
Source: RNAcentral
CUUCGACGGUACCAGAAGAAAUAAAGCACCGGCUAACUCCGUGCCAGCAGCCGCGGUAAUACGGAGGGUGCAAGCGUUAUCCGGAUUUCACUGGGUUUAAAGGGUGCGUAGGCGGGUAGGUAAGUCAGUGGUGAAAUCCUGGAGCUCAACUCCAGAACUGCCAUUGAUACUAUCUGUCUUGAAUAUUGUGGAGGUAAGCGGAAUAUGUCAUGUAGCGGUGAAAUGCUUAGAUAUGACAUAGAACACCUAUUGCGAAGGCAGCUUACUACGCAUAUAUUGACGC